This 482-nucleotide ribosomal RNA is filed under the name uncultured bacterium. RNAcentral's name for it is "partial 16S ribosomal RNA". It matches the Rfam family "Bacterial small subunit ribosomal RNA", at positions 30 to 507 of the family's 1533-position model. The record is from RNAcentral.
AUUGAACGCUGGCGGCAUGCUUUACACAUGCAAGUCGAACGGUAACAGCACUUCUGUGGCUGACGAGUGGCGCACGGGUGAGUAAUACAUCGGAACGUGCCUAGUAGUGGGGGAUAACUACUCGAAAGAGUAGCUAAUACCGCAUGAGAUCUAAGGAUGAAAGCAGGGGACCUUCGGGCCUUGCGCUACUAGUGCGGCUGAUGGCAGAUUAGGUAGUUGGUGGGAUAAAAGCUUACCAAGCCGACGAUCUGUAGCUGGUCUGAGAGGACGACCAGCCACACUGGGACUGAGACACGGCCCAGACUCCUACGGGAGGCAGCAGUGGGGAAUGUUGGACAAUGGGCGCAAGCCUGAUCCAGCAAUGCCGCGUGCAGGAUGAAGGCCUUCGGGUUGUAAACUGCUUUUGUACGGAACGAAAAGCCCUCUUCUAAUACAGGAGGGUCAUGACGGUACCGGAAGAAUAAGCACCGGCUAACUACGUG